CACCCGGAGCCAGCGCGUGCAGGCUGGUUCCGCCCCCCCUUCCUUGCCCCCCACGCGCGCCAGCCGGCGGCUUUUAAAUCUCCAGAGACCAGAUACCCAGCUGCAUCUGGUUGGCCUCACGGAAGCCUGAGAAGUCAUGAAGGACCUGGAGCUCCCUUGCUGUUCCCAUCUCUUGCCAUCUCCAUCAUCCAGGGCCGGUGGUCCACUUUGAGAUGUCUGUGCUGUCUGCCUCAGGAUGAGGGGCUGACUCUCUGACUUCAAGAUAGGAAUAAAAGGAGGAGGAGUCUGCUACACCCACCAUCAAGUGCGCUCACAGUAUUUACUCAACCAGUGACAAGGAGGGCCAAACAAGAGGAAAAAUCCUAGAACUGCAGCAAGACAGAUGGGAAUCACACUAGAGGAGGGACUUCCCAGGGCAUCUGAGGUAAGGUGUAAAAUCUCUGCCUUCUCCUCCCUAAAUGUCCCCACAACUGAGUCCAGUGCAAUACAGCCUGAAGAUGAUAGAUGGGUGAGAUGGCAUAUGGAAGCCCCAUUGCAGGCCUCUGAUGAUGGGGGUCCUCCUGGCUGAGUAGCUUUUCCCAUUCUGGAAGGGAUGUCCUGAAUGUGCUAGGAGUUGUGAGAGAUGACUGGAAUUCCAGUAACUUUUGGCAGGAUUUACUACUGUAUCUGGAUCUUUGGGAUUGAGAGAGGAGCAAGAAGCUGACACUGCCUACUGCAAGUGGCUAUAAAGCCAUUCUCACGGUCCUGAUGCAAUGCUCAAGAUAAAAAGCAAGCCUGCGGGAAGGAGAGACACUGGCCUGAGUCCAGGUGUCUGAGCAGGAACACCAGCCCCAGACUCCAAAUGAAGCUCCAGAGGAACAGAAGGAGUUGGUGGGAAGGGCCCCUCUGCUGGGCUUCAGGGCCAGAAAAGGGAGAAGGAACAAACACAAGUAGUGGCAGAGCACCAUCCAGUCAUGUUGGCCAAAUGAUGCCUCCUUUGUUCAGUAAGAAGUGAAGAGAGAAUGCUAGAACCGCAGCCGGGCGUGGUGGUUCACGCCUGUAUCCCAGCACUUUGGGAAGC
Molecule: long non-coding RNA, 1060 nt
Filed under: Homo sapiens (human)
Lineage: Eukaryota; Metazoa; Chordata; Mammalia; Primates; Hominidae
Description: HSALNT0297662
Source: RNAcentral